AUUGAACGCUGGCGGCAUGCCUUACACAUGCAAGUCGAACGGCAGCACGGGAGCAAUCCUGGUGGCGAGUGGCGAACGGGUGAGUAAAGUAUCGGAACGUGCCCAGUCGUGGGGGAUAACGUAGCGAAAGUUACGCUAAUACCGCAUACGAUCUAUGGAUGAAAGCGGGGGAUCGCAAGACCUCGCGCGAUUGGAGGGGCGGAUAUCAGAUUAGGUAGUUGGUGGGGUAAAGGCUCACCAAGCCGACGAUCUGUAGCUGGUCUGAGAGGACGACCAGCCACACUGGGACUGAGACACGGCCCAGACUCCUACGGGAGGCAGCAGUGGGGAAUUUUGGACAAUGGGCGAAAGCCUGAUCCAGCCAUGCCGCGUGCAGGAUGAAGGCCUUCGGGUUGUAAACUGCUUUUGUACGGAACGAAAAGGUUUGGCCUAAUAAGCUGAGCUCAUGACGGUACCGUAAGAAUAAGCACCGGCUAACUACGUGCCAGCAGCCGCCGUAA
This 500-nucleotide ribosomal RNA is filed under the name uncultured bacterium. Its description in RNAcentral is "partial 16S ribosomal RNA". It matches the Rfam family "Bacterial small subunit ribosomal RNA", at positions 30 to 523 of the family's 1533-position model. The record is from RNAcentral.